AUACGGAGGGUGCAAGCGUUACUCGGAAUCACUGGGCGUAAAGCGCGCGCAGGCGGUCUUUUAAGUUGGAUGUGAAAGCCUACGGCUCAACCGUAGAACUGCAUCCAAAACUAUUAGACUAGAGUGUGGGAGAGGAAGAUGGAAUUAGUUGUGUAGGGGUAAAAUCCGUAGAGAUAACUAGGAAUACCAAAAGCGAAGGCAAUCUUCUGGAACACUACUGACGCUGAGGUGCGAAAGCGUGGGGAGCAAACAGGAUUAGAAACCCGUGUAGUCC
RNAcentral lists this ribosomal RNA (274 nucleotides) under uncultured bacterium. RNAcentral describes it as "partial 16S ribosomal RNA". It matches the Rfam family "Bacterial small subunit ribosomal RNA", at positions 523 to 796 of the family's 1533-position model. The record is from RNAcentral.